Molecule: ribosomal RNA, 1093 nt
Filed under: Fictibacillus barbaricus
Lineage: Bacteria; Bacillati; Bacillota; Bacilli; Caryophanales; Fictibacillaceae
Description: bacterial SSU rRNA
Rfam family: Bacterial small subunit ribosomal RNA
Source: RNAcentral
GCAAGUCGAGCGAAUGAUGAGGAGCUUGCUCCUCUGAUUUAGCGGCGGACGGGUGAGUAACACGUGGGUAAUCUGCCUGUAAGACGGGGAUAACUCCGGGAAACCGGGGCUAAUACCGGAUAAUAAGAAGAGACGCAUGUCUCUUUUUUGAAAGUCGGUUUCGGCUGACACUUACAGAUGAGCCCGCGGCGCAUUAGCUAGUUGGUGAGGUAACGGCUCACCAAGGCGACGAUGCGUAGCCGACCUGAGAGGGUGAUCGGCCACACUGGGACUGAGACACGGCCCAGACUCCUACGGGAGGCAGCAGUAGGGAAUCUUCGGCAAUGGGCGAAAGCCUGACCGAGCAACGCCGCGUGAGCGAUGAAGGCCUUCGGGUCGUAAAGCUCUGUUGUUAGAGAAGAACAAGUACGAGAGUAACUGCUCGUACCUUGACGGUACCUAACCAGAAAGCCACGGCUAACUACGUGCCAGCAGCCGCGGUAAUACGUAGGUGGCAAGCGUUAUCCGGAAUUAUUGGGCGUAAAGCGCGCGCAGGCGGUCUCUUAAGUCUGAUGUGAAAGCCCACGGCUCAACCGUGGAGGGUCAUUGGAAACUGGGAGACUUGAGUGCAGGAGAGAAAAGUGGAAUUCCACGUGUAGCGGUGAAAUGCGUAGAGAUGUGGAGGAACACCAGUGGCGAAGGCGGCUUUUUGGCCUGUAACUGACGCUGAGGCGCGAAAGCGUGGGGAGCAAACAGGAUUAGAUACCCUGGUAGUCCACGCCGUAAACGAUGAGUGCUAGGUGUUGGGGGGUUCCACCCUCAGUGCUGAAGUUAACACAUUAAGCACUCCGCCUGGGGAGUACGACCGCAAGGUUGAAACUCAAAGGAAUUGACGGGGGCCCGCACAAGCAGUGGAGCAUGUGGUUUAAUUCGAAGCAACGCGAAGAACCUUACCAGGUCUUGACAUCCUCUGACCACUCUAGAGAUAGAGCUUUCCCCUUCGGGGGACAGAGUGACAGGUGGUGCAUGGUUGUCGUCAGCUCGUGUCGUGAGAUGUUGGGUUAAGUCCCGCAACGAGCGCAACCCUUGACCUUAGUUGCCAGCAUUCAGUUGG